CUUCCGCGUCCACCUCCCCGGCGGCCGGGCCGCCCCGCGCUCGGCCGCGGUUGGCUCGGAGGACGGAUGCCAGCGGGGCCGGGGGUGGGCGCUCCCCUUCUGCUGGCGGAUUUAUCCGGCGAGGCCGGGGGAUCCCGCCUCUCCCCCCGCUGCCUGGGCGCUGAGCGUUCCCGCUUUCCCCUCCAGCCGCAGGGGUACCUGGAAAUGCCUAGGUUAGAACAAAACGAAAUCCAGGCGUACGAAGAAAUCAGUGUCUCAUCCUGUUUCCUUACAGAUACAGCAUGUAAACUUUUGCUUUUUCUCCUGUCGGGAUUGUAAUUCUACCUGCUCGGAAAUCUAGGCAAUUGACCUUUUUUGCUCCCGACAGAAGUCUUUUUAAUGCUGCCUUCCAUCUUGCUUGUCUACUCUUCCCCCCCGAAAAACACCCUGAAGAACUGUUUCUAAAUCAACAACAGUCAGCAAUCCUGGUAAUCUUCAGGAGUAAUCUUGAAAACCAGGGCUUGCUCACUUUCUUCCUGAAGCUCUACCAUUUUAUUUUAGCUCUAGCAAGGCUGCCACGCAUUUUGUCUGUAUUAAAAUUGAUCUGAAUUCCUG
This is a long non-coding RNA of Corvus hawaiiensis (hawaiian crow), 594 nucleotides long. RefSeq lists it as uncharacterized. The transcript is spliced from 2 exons. The record is from RefSeq and is a predicted model, not a curated record. Lineage: Eukaryota; Metazoa; Chordata; Aves; Passeriformes; Corvidae.